This 253-nucleotide ribosomal RNA is filed under the name uncultured bacterium. RNAcentral describes it as "partial 16S ribosomal RNA". It matches the Rfam family "Bacterial small subunit ribosomal RNA", at positions 524 to 776 of the family's 1533-position model. The record is from RNAcentral.
UACAGAGGGUGCAAGCGUUGUUCGGAAUUAUUGGGCGUAAAGGGCGCGUAGGCGGUUCGGCAAGUCUCUAGUGAAAUCUCUGGGCUCAACUCAGAGUCUGCUGGGGAAACUGCCGGGCUUGAGUGUGGGAGAGGAGAGUGGAAUUCCCGGUGUAGCGGUGAAAUGCGUAGAUAUCGAGAGGAACACCUGCGGCGAAGGCGGGUAGCUGGGCCGACACUGACGCUGAGGCGCGAAAGCCAGGGGAGCGAACGGG